AACUUUCAACAACGGAUCUCUUGGUUCUCGCAUCGAUGAAGAACGCAGCAAAGCGCGAUAGGUAAUGCGAAUUGCAGACGUGAGUCAUUGAAUCUUUGAACGCACAUUGCGCCAGUUUACUGGCAUACUGCGUUGAGCGUCG
This 142-nucleotide ribosomal RNA is filed under the name Entelexis sorbosivorans. Its description in RNAcentral is "Starmerella sorbosivorans 5.8S ribosomal RNA". It matches the Rfam family "5.8S ribosomal RNA". Rfam says of the family: 5.8S ribosomal RNA (5.8S rRNA) is a component of the large subunit of the eukaryotic ribosome. The record is from RNAcentral. Lineage: Eukaryota; Fungi; Ascomycota; Dipodascomycetes; Dipodascales; Trichomonascaceae.